UACGAAGGGGGCUAGCGUUGCUCGGAAUCACUGGGCGUAAAGGGUGCGUAGGCGGGUCUUUAAGUCAGGGGUGAAAUCCUGGAGCUCAACUCCAGAACUGCCUUUGAUACUGAGGAUCUUGAGUUCGGGAGAGGUGAGUGGAACUGCGAGUGUAGAGGUGAAAUUCGUAGAUAUUCGCAAGAACACCAGUGGCGAAGGCGGCUCACUGGCCCGAUACUGACGCUGAGGCACGAAAGCGUGGGAAGCAAACAGG
RNAcentral lists this ribosomal RNA (253 nucleotides) under uncultured bacterium. RNAcentral describes it as "partial 16S ribosomal RNA". It matches the Rfam family "Bacterial small subunit ribosomal RNA", at positions 524 to 776 of the family's 1533-position model. The record is from RNAcentral.